GACGAACGCUGGCGGCGUGCUUAACACAUGCAAGUCGAGCGGAAAGGCCCUUCGGGGUACUCGAGCGGCGAACGGGUGAGUAACACGUGAGUAACCUGCCCUAGGCUUUGGGAUAACCCCGGGAAACCGGGGCUAAUACCGGAUAUGACCUGGUGCCGCACGGCGUUGGGUGGAAAGUUUUUUCGGCAUGGGAUGGGCUCGCGGCCUAUCAUCUUGUUGGUGGGGUGAUGGCCUACCAAGGCCAUGACGGGUAGCCGGCCUGAGAGGGCGACCGGCCACACUGGGACUGAGACACGGCCCAGACUCCUACGGGAGGCAGCAGUGGGGAAUAUUGCACAAUGGGCGGAAGCCUGAUGCAGCGACGCCGUGUGAGGGAUGAAGGCCUUCGGGUUGUAAACCCCUUUCAGCAGGGACGAAGCGUGAGUGACGGUACCUGCAGAAGAAGCGCCGGCCAACUACGUG
Molecule: ribosomal RNA, 462 nt
Filed under: uncultured bacterium
Lineage: Bacteria
Description: partial 16S ribosomal RNA
Rfam family: Bacterial small subunit ribosomal RNA
Source: RNAcentral